RNAcentral lists this transfer RNA (74 nucleotides) under Agarivorans albus MKT 106. It matches the Rfam family "tRNA". Rfam says of the family: Transfer RNA (tRNA) molecules are approximately 80 nucleotides in length. Their secondary structure includes four short double-helical elements and three loops (D, anti-codon, and T loops). Further hydrogen bonds mediate the characteristic L-shaped molecular structure. tRNAs have two regions of fundamental functional importance: the anti-codon, which is responsible for specific mRNA codon recognition, and the 3' end, to which the tRNAs corresponding amino acid is attached (by aminoacyl-tRNA synthetases). tRNAs cope with the degeneracy of the genetic code in two manners: having more than one tRNA (with a specific anti-codon) for a particular amino acid; and 'wobble' base-pairing, i.e. permitting non-standard base-pairing at the 3rd anti-codon position. RNAcentral also lists the same sequence under 2 other names. Lineage: Bacteria; Pseudomonadati; Pseudomonadota; Gammaproteobacteria; Alteromonadales; Alteromonadaceae. The record is from Rfam by way of RNAcentral.
GCACCCGUAGCUCAGCUGGAUAGAGCGUCGCCCUCCGGAGGCGAAGGUCACAGGUUCGACUCCUGUCGGGUGCG